Molecule: ribosomal RNA, 632 nt
Filed under: uncultured Flexibacter sp.
Lineage: Bacteria; Pseudomonadati; Bacteroidota; Cytophagia; Cytophagales; Flexibacteraceae
Description: bacterial SSU rRNA
Rfam family: Bacterial small subunit ribosomal RNA
Source: RNAcentral
GAGUUUGAUCCUGGCUCAGGAUGAACGCUAGCGGCAGGCCUAAUACAUGCAAGUCGAGGGGCAGCAUCAUCGCUUGCGAUGGAUGGCGACCGGCGCACGGGUGCGUAACGCGUAUGCAACCUACCCUAUACAGGGGGAUAGCCCGGAGAAAUUCGGAUUAAUACCCCAUGGUAUCGUAAAGUAGCAUUGCUUAACGAUUAAAGAUUUAUUGGUAUAGGAUGGGCAUGCGUCUGAUUAGUUAGUUGGUGAGGUAACGGCUCACCAAGGCGAUGAUCAGUAGGGGUUCUGAGAGGAUGAUCCCCCACACUGGCACUGAGAUACGGGCCAGACUCCUACGGGAGGCAGCAGUAGGGAAUAUUGGUCAAUGGGCGAGAGCCUGAACCAGCCAUGCCGCGUGCAGGAAGACGGCCUUCUGGGUUGUAAACUGCUUUUAACAGGGAACAAAAGGGCUCUGCGGAGCACAUUGCGUGUACCUGAAGAAUAAGCACCGGCUAACUCCGUGCCAGCAGCCGCGGUAAUACGGAGGGUGCAAGCGUUGUCCGGAUUUAUUGGGUUUAAAGGGUGCGUAGCGGGCAAUUAAGUCAGUGGUGAAAUACUCCGGCUCAACCGGAGAGGUGCCAUUGAAACUGGUU